Molecule: unclassified non-coding RNA, 380 nt
Filed under: uncultured Micrococcaceae bacterium
Lineage: Bacteria; Bacillati; Actinomycetota; Actinomycetes; Micrococcales; Micrococcaceae
Description: contains 16S-23S intergenic spacer region
Source: RNAcentral
UCCGUUUUGUCAACGGCAGUCUCAAUAGAGUCCCCGGCAUAACCCGCUGGCAACAUGGAACGAGGGUUGCGCUCGUUGCGGGACUUAACCCAACAUCUCACGACACGAGCUGACGACAACCAUGCACCACCUGUGAACCCGCCCCAAAGGGGAAACCACAUCUCUGUGGCGGUCGGGAACAUGUCAAGCCUUGGUAAGGUUCUUCGCGUUGCAUCGAAUUAAUCCGCAUGCUCCGCCGCUUGUGCGGGCCCCCGUCAAUUCCUUUGAGUUUUAGCCUUGCGGCCGUACUCCCCAGGCGGGGCACUUAAUGCGUUAGCUGCGGCGCGGAAACCGUGGAAUGGCCCCCACACCUAGCACCCAUCGUUUACGGCUGGGACUAC